GUCCAGCAAAACAAUAUCUGUAAAGUAGAACGCUGAGAGAGGAGCUUGCUCUUCUUGGAUGAGUUGCGAACGGGUGAGUAACGCGUAGGUAACCUGCCUUGUAGCGGGGGAUAACUAUUGGAAACGAUAGCUAAUACCGCAUAACAAUGGAUGACACAUGUCAUUUAUUUGAAAGGGGCAAUUGCUCCACUACAAGAUGGACCUGCGUUGUAUUAGCUAGUAGGUGAGGUAAUGGCUCACCUAGGCGACGAUACAUAGCCGACCUGAGAGGGUGAUCGGCCACACUGGGACUGAGACACGGCCCAGACUCCUACGGGAGGCAGCAGUAGGGAAUCUUCGGCAAUGGGGGCAACCCUGACCGAGCAACGCCGCGUGAGUGAAGAAGGUUUUCGGAUCGUAAAGCUCUGUUGUAAGUCAAGAACGGGUGUGAGAGUGGAAAGUUCACACUGUGACGGUAGCUUACCAGAAAGGGACGGCUAACUACGUGCCAGCAGCCGCGGUAAUACGUAGGUCCCGAGCGUUGUCCGGAUUUAUUGGGCGUAAAGCGAGCGCAGGCGGUUUGAUAAGUCUGAAGUUAAAGGCUGUGGCUCAACCAUAGUUCGCUUUGGAAACUGUCAAACUUGAGUGCAGAAGGGGAGAGUGGAAUUUCCAUGUGUAGCGGUGAAAUGCGUAGAUAUAUGGAGGAACACCGGUGGCGAAAGCGGCUCUCUGGUCUGUAACUGACGCUGAGGCUCGAAAGCGUGGGGAGCGAACAGGAUUAGAUACCCUGGUAGUCCACGCCGUAAACGAUGAGUGCUAGGUGUUGGAUCCUUUCCGGGAUUCAGUGCCGCAGCUAACGCAUUAAGCACUCCGCCUGGGGAGUACGACCGCAAGGUUGAAACUCAAAGGAAUUGACGGGGGCCCGCACAAGCGGUGGAGCAUGUGGUUUAAUUCGAAGCAACGCGAAGAACCUUACCAGGUCUUGACAUCCCGAUGCUAUUUCUAGAGAUAGAAAGUUACUUCGGUACAUCGGUGACAGGUGGUGCAUGGUUGUCGUCAGCUCGUGUCGUGAGAUGUUGGGUUAAGUCCCGCAACGAGCGCAACCCCUAUUGUUAGUUGCCAUCAUUCAGUUGGGCACUCUAGCGAGACUGCCGGUAAUAAACCGGAGGAAGGUGGGGAUGACGUCAAAUCAUCAUGCCCCUUAUGACCUGGGCUACACACGUGCUACAAUGGUUGGUACAACGAGUUGCGAGUCGGUGACGGCGAGCUAAUCUCUUAAAGCCAAUCUCAGUUCGGAUUGUAGGCUGCAACUCGCCUACAUGAAGUCGGAAUCGCUAGUAAUCGCGGAUCAGCACGCCGCGGUGAAUACGUUCCCGGGCCUUGUACACACCGCCCGUCACACCACGAGAGUGUUUAGGUACCCAGGAGCCCGCCCUAAGGUAGACAGAUGACUGGAGUAGACGCAUAAGAUUUCU
RNAcentral lists this ribosomal RNA (1454 nucleotides) under Streptococcus thermophilus. Its description in RNAcentral is "bacterial SSU rRNA". It matches the Rfam family "Bacterial small subunit ribosomal RNA". The record is from RNAcentral. Lineage: Bacteria; Bacillati; Bacillota; Bacilli; Lactobacillales; Streptococcaceae.